GACAGAGGGUGCAAACGUUGUUCGGAAUUACUGGGCGUAAAGCGCGUGUAGGCGGCUAUGUAAGUCGGGCGUGAAAUCCCACGGCUCAACCGUGGAAGUGCACCCGAAACUGCGUAGCUAGAGUCCUGGAGAGGAAGGUGGAAUGCUUGGUGUAGAGGUGAAAUUCGUAGAUAUCAAGCGGAACACCGGUGGCGAAGGCGGCCUUCUGGACAGUGACUGACGCUGAGGCGCGAAAGCCAGGGGAGCAAACGGG
Molecule: ribosomal RNA, 253 nt
Filed under: uncultured bacterium
Lineage: Bacteria
Description: partial 16S ribosomal RNA
Rfam family: Bacterial small subunit ribosomal RNA
Source: RNAcentral